CCCAAUUCCUUUUAUGAAGAAUAGAGAAGGAAGUUUGUAUGACACAUUUUCCUUUCCACUCUCCAGCCGAGGCUUUAGCACUUGGAAUCUCGGGAUGAGAUUCUUUUAAGGGGGAGAGGCUGUAACACCUGGUGUUAAUAAUAACUAAAGUAUGCCAUCAAUGAGCUAAUGGUGAAAUUUGGAUUAGAGGAAGGUAAUUUGACUCAAAG
This 209-nucleotide long non-coding RNA is filed under the name Setaria italica (foxtail millet). RNAcentral's name for it is "long non-coding RNA (SITA_LNC000315)". Lineage: Eukaryota; Viridiplantae; Streptophyta; Magnoliopsida; Poales; Poaceae. The record is from RNAcentral.